RNAcentral lists this ribosomal RNA (467 nucleotides) under fungal sp. 4221c1a. RNAcentral's name for it is "eukaryotic LSU rRNA". The stretch from base 136 to 289 matches the Rfam family "5.8S ribosomal RNA". Lineage: Eukaryota; Fungi. The record is from RNAcentral.
GAGUUUUCGGGCUUCGGCUCGACUCUCCCACCCUUUGUGAACGUACCUCUGUUGCUUUGGCGGCUCCGGCCGCCAAAGGACCUUCAAACUCCAGUCAGUAAACGCAGACGUCUGAUAAACAAGUUAAUAAACUAAAACUUUCAACAACGGAUCUCUUGGUUCUGGCAUCGAUGAAGAACGCAGCGAAAUGCGAUAAGUAAUGUGAAUUGCAGAAUUCAGUGAAUCAUCGAAUCUUUGAACGCACAUUGCGCCCCUUGGUAUUCCGGGGGGCAUGCCUGUUCGAGCGUCAUUACAACCCUCAAGCUCUGCUUGGAAUUGGGCACCGUCCUCAUUGCGGACGCGCCUCAAAGACCUCGGCGGUGGCUGUUCAGCCCUCAAGCGUAGUAGAAUACACCUCGCUUUGGAGCGGUUGGCGUCGCCCGCCGGACGAACCUUCUGAACUUUUCUCAAGGUUGACCUCGGAUCAG